UCGGAGACUUGAGACGGGCACGGGUGGGAACACGUGUAACCUGCCUUUAUCAGGGGGAUAGCCUUUCGAAAGGAAGAUUAAUACCCCAUAAUAUAUUGAGUGGCAUCACUUGAUAUUGAAAACUACGGUGGAUAGAGAUGGGCACGCGCAAGAUUAGAUAGUUGGUAGGGUAACGGCCUACCAAGUCAAUGAUCUUUAGGGGGCCUGAGAGGGUGAUCCCCCACACUGGUACUGAGACACGGACCAGACUCCUACGGGAGGCAGCAGUGAGGAAUAUUGGACAAUGGGUGAGAGCCUGAUCCAGCCAUCCCGCGUGAAGGACGACGGCCCUAUGGGUUGUAAACUUCUUUUGUAUAGGGAUAAACCUUUCCUCGUGAGGAAAGCUGAAGGUACUAUACGAAUAAGCACCGGCUAACUCCGUGCCAGCAGCCGCGGUAAUACGGAGGGUGCAAGCGUUAUCCGGAUUUAUUGGGUUUAAAGGGUCCGUAGGCGGAUCUGUAAGUCAGUGGUGAAAUCUCAUAGCUCAACUAUGAAACUGCCAUUGAUACUGCAGGUCUUGAGUAAGGUAGAAGUAGCUGGAAUAAGUAGUGUAGCGGUGAAAGCAUAGAUAUUACUUAGAACACCAAUUGAAGGCAGGUUACUAUGUCUACUG
This 652-nucleotide ribosomal RNA is filed under the name Chryseobacterium taihuense. RNAcentral's name for it is "bacterial SSU rRNA". It matches the Rfam family "Bacterial small subunit ribosomal RNA", at positions 83 to 742 of the family's 1533-position model. The record is from RNAcentral. Lineage: Bacteria; Pseudomonadati; Bacteroidota; Flavobacteriia; Flavobacteriales; Weeksellaceae.